AUUGAACGCUGGCGGCAGGCUUAACACAUGCAAGUCGAGCGGGGAAGUAUAGCUUGCUAUACGACCUAGCGGCGGACGGGUGAGUAAUGCUUAGGAAUCUGCCUAUUAGUGGGGGACAACAUUCCGAAAGGAAUGCUAAUACCGCAUACGCCCUACGGGGGAAAGCAGGGGAUCUUCGGACCUUGCGCUAAUAGAUGAGCCUAAGUCAGAUUAGCUAGUUGGUGGGGUAAAGGCCUACCAAGGCGACGAUCUGUAGCGGGUCUGAGAGGAUGAUCCGCCACACUGGGACUGAGACACGGCCCAGACUCCUACGGGAGGCAGCAGUGGGGAAUAUUGGACAAUGGGCGCAAGCCUGAUCCAGCCAUGCCGCGUGUGUGAAGAAGGCCUUUUGGUUGUAAAGCACUUUAAGCGAGGAGGAGGCUACUGGUAUUAAUACUACCGGAUAGUGGACGUUACUCGCAGAAUAAGCACCGGCUAACUCUGUGCCAGCAGCCGCGGUAAUACAGAGGGUGCGAGCGUUAAUCGGAUUUACUGGGCGUAAAGCGUGCGUAGGCGGCUUUUUAAGUCGGAUGUGAAAUCCCUGAGCUUAACUUAGGAAUUGCAUUCGAUACUGGGAAGCUAGAGUAUGGGAGAGGAUGGUAGAAUUCCAGGUGUAGCGGUGAAAUGCGUAGAGAUCUGGAGGAAUACCGAUGGCGAAGGCAGCCAUCUGGCCUAAUACUGACGCUGAGGUACGAAAGCAUGGGGAGCAAACAGG
Molecule: ribosomal RNA, 754 nt
Filed under: uncultured Acinetobacter sp.
Lineage: Bacteria; Pseudomonadati; Pseudomonadota; Gammaproteobacteria; Moraxellales; Moraxellaceae
Description: bacterial SSU rRNA
Rfam family: Bacterial small subunit ribosomal RNA
Source: RNAcentral